UACGUAGGGCGCAAGCGUUGUCCGGAAUUACUGGGCGUAAAGAGCUCGUAGGCGGCGUGUCGCGUCGGCUGUGAAAGCCCGGGGCUCAACCCCGGAUCUGCAGUCGAUACGGGCAGGCUGGAGUUCGGCAGAGGAGAUCGGAAUUCCUGGUGGAGCGGUGAAAUGCGCAGAUAUCAGGAGGAACACCGCAGGCGAAGGCAGAUCUCUGGGCCGAAACUGACGCUGAGGAGCGAAAGCGUGGGGAGCGAACAGG
RNAcentral lists this unclassified non-coding RNA (253 nucleotides) under uncultured Actinomycetes bacterium. RNAcentral describes it as "uncultured actinobacterium contains 16S-23S intergenic spacer region". It matches the Rfam family "Bacterial small subunit ribosomal RNA", at positions 524 to 776 of the family's 1533-position model. Lineage: Bacteria; Bacillati; Actinomycetota; Actinomycetes. The record is from RNAcentral.